Molecule: transfer RNA, 75 nt
Filed under: Kiritimatiellia bacterium
Lineage: Bacteria; Pseudomonadati; Kiritimatiellota; Kiritimatiellia
Description: Kiritimatiellae bacterium (wastewater metagenome) tRNA-Glu
Rfam family: tRNA
About the family: Transfer RNA (tRNA) molecules are approximately 80 nucleotides in length. Their secondary structure includes four short double-helical elements and three loops (D, anti-codon, and T loops).
Source: RNAcentral
GACCCCAUCGUCCAGCGGUUAGGACAUCAGGUUUUCAUCCUGGAAACACGGGUUCGAUUCCCGUUGGGGUCGCCA